This 600-nucleotide ribosomal RNA is filed under the name Salegentibacter sp. R11. RNAcentral describes it as "bacterial SSU rRNA". It matches the Rfam family "Bacterial small subunit ribosomal RNA", at positions 32 to 623 of the family's 1533-position model. The record is from RNAcentral. Lineage: Bacteria; Pseudomonadati; Bacteroidota; Flavobacteriia; Flavobacteriales; Flavobacteriaceae.
AACGCUAGCGGCAGGCCUAACACAUGCAAGUCGAGGGGUAACAGGAAUUAGCUUGCUAAUUUGCUGACGACCGGCGCACGGGUGCGUAACGCGUAUACAACCUACCUUUUAGCGGGGAAUAGCCCAGGGAAACUUGGAUUAAUGCCCCAUAGUAUGGAGAUAUCUCCUGAUAUUUUCAUUAAACAUUUAUGGCUAUUAGAUGGGUAUGCGUCCUAUUAGUUAGUUGGUAAGGUAACGGCUUACCAAGGCAGCGAUAGGUAGGGGUCCUGAGAGGGAGAUCCCCCACACUGGUACUGAGACACGGACCAGACUCCUACGGGAGGCAGCAGUGAGGAAUAUUGGACAAUGGGCGAGAGCCUGAUCCAGCCAUGCCGCGUGCAGGAAGACUGCCCUAUGGGUUGUAAACUGCUUUUACAGAGGAAGAACCGCUCCCACGUGUGGGAGUUUGACGGUACUCUGCGAAUAAGGAUCGGCUAACUCCGUGCCAGCAGCCGCGGUAAUACGGAGGAUCCAAGCGUUAUCCGGAAUCAUUGGGUUUAAAGGGUCCGUAGGCGGGCAGUUAAGUCAGUGGUGAAAGUCUUCCGCUCAACGGGAGAACUG